CAUUGUGAAAUGAAAUAUUGAAGGAAGCCGACAGCAAACAUCCGAUCUGACGAACGCAAACUACAUAUAAAUCUGCGAUCUUUGCUUUGUGUAUGUAUCAGAUAUGAAAAAUACAAAACCAACACCCAAUUUCACAUUUUCGGAUGUAAAAUUGGGUGUCGAUUUUAUAAAAGAUU
RNAcentral lists this non-coding RNA (176 nucleotides) under Alistipes senegalensis. Lineage: Bacteria; Pseudomonadati; Bacteroidota; Bacteroidia; Bacteroidales; Rikenellaceae. The record is from RNAcentral.